RNAcentral lists this transfer RNA (73 nucleotides) under Seminavis robusta. It matches the Rfam family "tRNA". Rfam says of the family: Transfer RNA (tRNA) molecules are approximately 80 nucleotides in length. Their secondary structure includes four short double-helical elements and three loops (D, anti-codon, and T loops). Lineage: Eukaryota; Bacillariophyta; Bacillariophyceae; Naviculales; Naviculaceae. The record is from Rfam by way of RNAcentral.
GGCUCCAUAGUGUAGGUGGUUAUCACUCCAGGUUCUGAUUCUGGCGACGCGAGUUCGAGUCUCGCUGGAGCCU